UACAGAGGUCCCAAGCGUUGUUCGGAUUCACUGGGCGUAAAGGGUGCGUAGGUGGUCGGGUAAGUCUGAUGUGAAAUCUUCGAGCUCAACUCGGAAAUGGCAUUGGAUACUAUUCGGCUGGAGGGUUGGAGGGGGGACUGGAAUUCUCGGUGUAGCAGUGAAAUGCGUAGAUAUCGAGAGGAACACCAGUGGCGAAGGCGAGUCCCUGGACAACUCCUGACACUGAGGCACGAAAGCUAGGGGAGCAAACAGG
This 253-nucleotide ribosomal RNA is filed under the name uncultured bacterium. RNAcentral's name for it is "partial 16S ribosomal RNA". It matches the Rfam family "Bacterial small subunit ribosomal RNA", at positions 524 to 776 of the family's 1533-position model. The record is from RNAcentral.